GCAGGAGGACUCAGGGGUGAUUCAGAGGAGGACUCAGGGGUGAUGCAGGAGGACUCAGGGGUGAUGCAGGAGGACUCAGGGUGAUGCAGGAGGACUCAGGGGUGAUGUAGGAGGACUCAGGGGUGAUUCAGAGGAGGACUCAGGGGUGAUGCAGGAGGACUCAGGGUGAUGCAGGAGGACUCAGGGGUGAUGCAGGAGGUCUCAGGGGUGAUUCAGAGGAGGACUCAGGGGUGAUUCAGAGGAGGACUCAGGGGUGAUGCAGGAGGACUCAGGAGUGAUGCAGGAGGACUCAGGGUUAUGCAGAAGGACUCAGGGGUGAUUCAGAGGAGGACUCAGGGUGAUGCAGGAGGACUCAGGGGUGAUGCAGGAGGACUCAGGGGUGAUGCAGGGAGGACUCAGGGGUGAUGCAGGAGGACUCGGGGUGAUGCAGGGAGGACUCAGGGUGAUGCAGGAGGACUCAGGGGUGAUGCAGGAGGACUCAGGGAUGAUGCAGGAGGACUCAGGGUGAUGUAGGAGGACUCAGGGUGAUGCAGGAGGACUCAGGGUGAUGCAGAAGGACUCCAGAGGGCACGUGACCUAAGCCUUUAACUAGUCCUUCCCAGAAGGACUCAGGGAAGAUGCAGGGAGGACUCAGGGUGAUGCAGGAGGACUCAGGGGUGAUUCAGAGGAGGACUCAGGGGUGAUGCAGGAGGACUCAGGGGUGAUGUAGGAGGACUCAGGGUGAUUCAGAGGAGGACUCAGGGGUGAUGCAGGAGGACUCAGGGUGAUUCAGAGGAGGACUCAGGGUGAUUCAGAGGAGGACUCAGGGGUGAUGCAGGAGGACUCAGGGUGAUUCAGAGGAGGACUCAGGGGUGAUUCAGAGGAGGACUCAGGGUGAUGCAGGAGGACUCAGGGGUGAUACAGGAGGACUCAGGGGUGAUGCAGGAGGACUCAGGGUGAUGCAGGAGGACUCAGGGGUGAUGCAGGAGGAUUCAGGGGGAUGCAGGAGGACUCAGGGUGAUUUAGGGGCGGACACUGUGAGCCAUGCUGAGGAGCAGCAAUACCCUGAGAAGGUGUGCUGUGACCCAGCUCUGCCCUGUCCCCGCAGGUGGAGUGUCACUGGUGUGAGCCAGGAGCACAGCAGGGCUCUAGCAGCUGGUUGAGAUGCUGCCCACAGCAUGGCUGUCACCUGCUUUUGUGCCCCCAGUUUGUCUGGAUCCCUGCUCCAGAGCCGGUUGGAGGCCUUGGAGAGCUGAGGGGACCCGUUGCCCACUCUCUGCGCUGCCGGCAUCCUAACCUCUCCACGUGGAGGGCGGAGGUGGAGGCAGAGGCUCACUGCUGUCCUCCAGAGCCUGGGGAGCUGACUGAGGCUCAGGAUCCGGCCAGGAGAGGCCCCACACAGGACCCCAGUCCCCCCCGAGCUCCUGGCAUCUCAGCAGCCAGCAGGUGGCUUGGAUUCAGCCCACUGAGGGUCCCAGCAGGACACUGGAGGGGCAGAUGAGAGGAAGCUGGCCCAGCAGACACUAUGUGCAGUGGCAGGGCAGAGCUGGACCGCUGGCCUGGGAGCGAGGGAGCAUCUGCAGGGCCGGCAGAGACCGGUUGUCCCUGGAAACCUCUCUGGAGGGGAGGUGCUAGCCGGCCAUCACCACGGCUCCUGUCCACUGUCCCGACAUUCCUCAGCUUUGUGGUGACCUGGAGAACUGCACGGUCCUCCCAAUCAACCUCACUGCCAGGCAGGUGGCCGUCAGUCUCCAAGGCAAAGGCAUGUCCGUGGAGGACAGCCCUGGUGCACACAGCCCCAGAGUGCGAUUAUGGGUCCUGGAGGUGGGAGCCCCCUAGGGUCCGUCUCCAGAGGGUGUGAGGGUGUGCGCGGAUCACCUCCAACUCCUGCGAGGUCCCUGCUGUGGGGGCCUAACGACCCUGCAGCAACAGGUUACUGGACCCUGUCCAAGGAAAGCAGGAGUCUGCACGUGACCUGAGCCAGCGUCCAGGCCACCCCUGACCUGCCACCCCCCCACCCACUGUCAGAGAUGUAAAGAGCUGGGGGAGCAGGGGACCUAGGCUCCGGUCACGUCUGUGCCACUGCAAGGUCACCACACAGAGCCCUCCAUGAACACGAGGUCAAGGUCCGAGCAGGGUUGCCAGGGCUGGGCAGUGGGCCAGCACCUGGGUUCCAUGGUGAGGAAGCUUCUGGCCCCUAGCACCUGUCCCCAAACUCCGGGUCAGAGCCCUGAUUCUCCAGCAGACGAGUGGCCUCACACAGGUGAUUUUGCUUGUUUUGGUUAAUUACGUGACGGAUCUGGUCUCGACUCUACUGAGAAGGGCCAAGGUCUGGGAACAGAGGGACAGUGGGGCUUGGAGGACCAGGGAGAGGGGCUGUGCUUUCUGGGUUGGGACUAAGCCUUUAACUAGAAAGCACUUCCAGAACAGCAUGAUGUGAGCAUCUCAACAGAGCAUUUAGAAUAAUCCCUAAAAUAAAUAUGUCAGACGCAUAAUGGGGUGAGCCUUCUGUUCGCCCCACAGCUCAGGAGCCAGAGGUCACCCACAUCCCAGAGCCCAGGGUCCCUCCAAACCCAAG
This 2557-nucleotide long non-coding RNA is filed under the name Marmota monax (woodchuck). Lineage: Eukaryota; Metazoa; Chordata; Mammalia; Rodentia; Sciuridae. The record is from RNAcentral.